GUGCUCACUUUGGCAGCACGUAUACUAAAACUGGAACAAUACAGAGGAGAUUAACCUGCCCCUUGCAUAAGGAUGACAUGCAAAUCUGUGAAGCAUUCCAUAUUUUU
Molecule: small nuclear RNA, 107 nt
Organism: Cercocebus atys (sooty mangabey)
Lineage: Eukaryota; Metazoa; Chordata; Mammalia; Primates; Cercopithecidae
Source: Ensembl